This 1954-nucleotide ribosomal RNA is filed under the name human gut metagenome. RNAcentral's name for it is "bacterial LSU rRNA". It matches the Rfam family "Bacterial large subunit ribosomal RNA", at positions 3 to 1991 of the family's 2925-position model. The record is from RNAcentral.
UUAAGCUGAUAAGGGCGCAGGGAGGAUGCCUUGGCACUAAGAGCCGAAGAAGGACGUGAUAAGCUGCGAUAAGCUGCGGUUAGGAGCAAAUAUCCGCUAACCCGCAGAUUUCCGAAUGGGGAAACCCGGCAGAGAAAACCUCUGUCAUCCAUACGCCAAUACAUAACGUAUGGAAGGGAACCCGGUGAACUGAAACAUCUAAGUAGCCGGAGGAAGAGAAAGAAACAUCGAUUUCCUGAGUAGCGGCGAGCGAAAGGGAAGGAGCCUAAACCGUGGUGCGUGCACCGCGGGGUCAUGGACUGCAUAAGUGAGCUGAAAGCUAGAAGAAUGGUUUUGGGAAAGCCAGCCAGAGAGAGUGAAAGCCUCGUAUUCGAAAGCGGAAGGCAGCGGCAGGAUCCGGAGUACCACGAGACACGUGGAACCUUGUGGGAAAUCGGGGGGACCACCCCCCAAGGCUAAAUACUACUUAGUGACCGAUAGCGCAUAGUACUGUGAAGGAAAGGUGAAAAGAACCCCGGGAGGGGAGUGAAAGAGAACCUGAAACCCUGUGUCUACAAGCUGUGGAAGCACUAUAUAUGUGCAACCGCGUACUUUUUGUAGAACGGUCCGGCGAGUUAUGCGGUGUGGCAAGGUUAAGCACUGAAAGUGUGGAGCCGAAGGGAAACCAAGUCUUAACCGGGCGUCCAGUCACAUAGCAUAGACCCGAAACCGGGUGAUCUACCCAUGUCCAGGUUGAAGCUGCUGUAAAAGGCGGUGGAGGACCGAACGCACAUCCGUUGAAAAGGGUGGCGAUGAGGUGUGGGUAGGGGAGAAAUUCCAAUCGAACUCGGAGAUAGCUGGUUCUCCUCGAAAUAGUUUUAGGACUAGCCUGUCAAGAGUCUGCCGGAGGUAGAGCACUGAAUUUCCGCGGGGGCGUCAAAGCUUACCAAAGAAUAUCAAACUCCGAAUGCCGGCCAGAUGAUUUGAUGGAGUCAGACUGCACGAGAUAAGUUGGGUAGUCAAAAGGGAAACAGCCCAGACCACCAGCUAAGGUCCCAAAGUGCGUGUUAAGUGGAAAAGGAUGUGGGGAUUCGAAGACAACUAGGAUGUUGGCUCAGAAGCAGCCAUACAUUCAAAGAGUGCGUAACAGCUCACUAGUCGAGAGUCCCUGCGCCGAAAAUGUCCGGGGCUGAAACACAACACCGAAGCCGUGGACUCCGUAAGGAGUGGUAGAGGAGCAUUCUUAAAACCGACGAAGCUGUACCGGUAAGGAGCAGUGGAGGGAUAAGAAGAGAGAAUGCCGGAAUGAGUAGCGAGAGGAAGGUGGGAAUCCUUCCGGCCGAAUAUCUAAGGUUUCCAGAGUAAAGCUGAUCUGCUCUGGGUAAGUCGGGGCCUAAGGCGAGGUCGAAAGACGUAGUCGAUGGAUAACAGGUUGAGAUUCCUGUACUCCGUAAUAUAAGAAAUGUGGGGACACAGAGGCGAAGCAUGAGCCGGGAAUGGAAAGACCGGUGCAAGCACAGGAGGUGCAUGGGAGGCAAAUCCCCCAUGUAAGCCGGAGGUGUGAAGCGGAGCGAACAUAAGGGUAGCGAAGCAUGUGGAGCAGCUGUCGGGAAAAGCCGCUAUAAAGUAUUACGGACCCGUACCGUAAACCGACACAGGUGGAUGAGGAGAGAAUCCUAAGGCCGACGGAAGAAGCAUUGUUAAGGAAUUCGGCAAAAUGACCCCGUAACUUCGGGAGAAGGGGUGCCUGCGAGAGCAGGCCGCAGAGAAUAGGCUCAAGCAACUGUUUAGCAAAAACACAGGUCUAUGCAAAACCGAAAGGUGAGGUAUAUGGGCUGACGCCUGCCCGGUGCUGGAAGGUUAAGGGGAGAGGUUAGCGCAAGCGAAGCUUUGAACUUAAGCCCCAGUAAACGGCGGCCGUAACUAUAACGGUCCUAAGGUAGCGAAAUUCCUUGUCGGGUAAGUUCCGACCCGC